This 501-nucleotide ribosomal RNA is filed under the name uncultured bacterium. RNAcentral's name for it is "partial 16S ribosomal RNA". It matches the Rfam family "Bacterial small subunit ribosomal RNA", at positions 30 to 523 of the family's 1533-position model. The record is from RNAcentral.
AUUGAACGCUGGCGGCAGGCUUAACACAUGCAAGUCGAGCGGGGGAAGGUAGCUUGCUACCGGACCUAGCGGCGGACGGGUGAGUAAUGCUUAGGAAUCUGCCUAUUAGUGGGGGACAACAUCUCGAAAGGGAUGCUAAUACCGCAUACGUCCUACGGGAGAAAGCAGGGGAUCUUCGGACCUUGCGCUAAUAGAUGAGCCUAAGUCGGAUUAGCUAGUUGGGGGGGGAAAGGCCUACCAAGGCGACGAUCUGUAGCGGGGCUGAGAGGAUGGUCCGCCACACUGGGACUGAGACACGGCCCAGACUCCUACGGGAGGCAACAGUGGGGAAUAUUGGACAAUGGGGGGAACCCUGAUCCAGCCAUGCCGCGUGUGUGAAGAAGGCCUUAUGGUUGUAAAGCACUUUAAGCGAGGAGGAGGCUACUUUAGUUAAUACCUAGAGAUAGUGGACGUUACUCGCAGAAUAAGCACCGGCUAACUCUGUGCCAGCCGCCGCAGUAA